GCUCAGAUUGAACGCUAGCGGGAUGCUUUACACAUGCAAGUCGAACGGCAGCACGAGAGAGCUUGCUCUCUUGGUGGCGAGUGGCGGACGGGUGAGUAAUAUAUCGGAACGUGCCCAGUAGCGGGGGAUAACUACUGGAAAGAGUGGCUAAUACCGCAUACGCCCUACGGGGGAAAGGGGGGGAUCGCAAGACCUCUCACUAUUGGAGCGGCCGAUAUCGGAUUAGCUAGUUGGUGGGGUAAAGGCUCACCAAGGCAACGAUCCGUAGCUGGUUUGAGAGGACGACCAGCCACACUGGGACUGAGACACGGCCCAGACUCCUACGGGAGGCAGCAGUGGGGAAUUUUGGACAAUGGGGGAAACCCUGAUCCAGCCAUCCCGCGUGUAUGAUGAAGGCCUUCGGGUUGUAAAGUACUUUUGGCAGAGAAGAAAAGGCAUCCCCUAAUACGGGAUGCUGCUGACGGUAUC
Molecule: ribosomal RNA, 468 nt
Filed under: uncultured Alcaligenes sp.
Lineage: Bacteria; Pseudomonadati; Pseudomonadota; Betaproteobacteria; Burkholderiales; Alcaligenaceae
Description: bacterial SSU rRNA
Rfam family: Bacterial small subunit ribosomal RNA
Source: RNAcentral